RNAcentral lists this ribosomal RNA (1152 nucleotides) under Escherichia coli. RNAcentral describes it as "partial 23S ribosomal RNA". It matches the Rfam family "Bacterial large subunit ribosomal RNA", at positions 44 to 1238 of the family's 2925-position model. Lineage: Bacteria; Pseudomonadati; Pseudomonadota; Gammaproteobacteria; Enterobacterales; Enterobacteriaceae. The record is from RNAcentral.
AGGCGAUGAAGGACGUGCUAAUCUGCGAUAAGCGUCGGUGAGGUGAUAUGAACCGUUAUAACCGGCGAUUUCCGAAUGGGGAAACCCAGUGUGUUUCGACACACUAUCAUUAACUGAAUCCAUAGGUUAAUGAGGCGAACCGGGGGAACUGAAACAUCUAAGUACCCCGAGGAAAAGAAAUCAACCGAGAUUCCCCCAGUAGCGGCGAGCGAACGGGGAGGAGCCCAGAGCCUGAAUCAGUGUGUGUGUUAGUGGAAGCGUCUGGAAAGGCGCGCGAUACAGGGUGACAGCCCCGUACACAAAAAUGCACAUAUUGUGAGCUCGAUGAGUAGGGCGGGACACGUGGUAUCCUGUCUGAAUAUGGGGGGACCAUCCUCCAAGGCUAAAUACUCCUGACUGACCGAUAGUGAACCAGUACCGUGAGGGAAAGGCGAAAAGAACCCCGGCGAGGGGAGUGAAAAAGAACCUGAAACCGUGUACGUACAAGCAGUGGGAGCCUCUUAAUGGGGUGACUGCGUACCUUUUGUAUAAUGGGUCAGCGACUUAUAUUCUGUAGCAAGGUUAACCGAAUAGGGGAGCCGAAGGGAAACCGAGUCUUAACUGGGCGUUAAGUUGCAGGGUAUAGACCCGAAACCCGGUGAUCUAGCCAUGGGCAGGUUGAAGGUUGGGUAACACUAACUGGAGGACCGAACCGACUAAUGUUGAAAAAUUAGCGGAUGACUUGUGGCUGGGGGUGAAAGGCCAAUCAAACCGGGAGAUAGCUGGUUCUCCCCGAAAGCUAUUUAGGUAGCGCCUCGUGAAUUCAUCUCCGGGGGUAGAGCACUGUUUCGGCAAGGGGGUCAUCCCGACUUACCAACCCGAUGCAAACUGCGAAUACCGGAGAAUGUUAUCACGGGAGACACACGGCGGGUGCUAACGUCCGUCGUGAAGAGGGAAACAACCCAGACCGCCAGCUAAGGUCCCAAAGUCAUGGUUAAGUGGGAAACGAUGUGGGAAGGCCCAGACAGCCAGGAUGUUGGCUUAGAAGCAGCCAUCAUUUAAAGAAAGCGUAAUAGCUCACUGGUCGAGUCGGCCUGCGCGGAAGAUGUAACGGGGCUAAACCAUGCACCGAAGCUGCGGCAGCGACACUAUGUGUUGUUGGGUAGGGGAGCG